This 460-nucleotide ribosomal RNA is filed under the name uncultured bacterium. RNAcentral's name for it is "partial 16S ribosomal RNA". It matches the Rfam family "Bacterial small subunit ribosomal RNA", at positions 338 to 795 of the family's 1533-position model. The record is from RNAcentral.
CCUACGGGUGGCAGCAGUGAGGAAUAUUGGUCAAUGGACGAGAGUCUGAACCAGCCAAGUAGCGUGAAGGAUGACUGCCCUAUGGGUUGUAAACUUCUUUUAUAUGGGAAUAAAAUGUUCCACGUGUGGGAUUUUGUAUGUACCAUAUGAAUAAGGAUCGGGUAACUCCGUGCCAGCAGCCGCGGUAAUACGGAGGAUGCGAGCGUUAUCCGGAGUUAUUGGGUUUAAAGGGAGCGUAGGUGUAGUGUUAAGUCAGUUGUGAAAGUUUGCGGCUCAACCGUAAUAUUGCAGUUGAAACUGGCAGUCUUGAGUACAGUAGAGGUGGGCGGAAUUCGUGGUGUAGCGGUGAAAUGCUUAGAUAUCACGAAGAACUCCGAUUGCGAAGGCAGUUCACUGGACUGCAACUGACACUGAGGCUCGAAAGUGUGGGUAUCAAACAGGAUCAGAUACCCCGGUAGUC